CACGGCCUAAAGGUUCCUCUCUCUUCUUCUAUUCUAGGAGAUUCGUCGUUAAAGAUCGUGCGUGCACAGUGCACGCGUAACGCAGCCUCCGUCACAGAUUAUCUGGCACGAAUCGAUCAAGAUCAGUUACGUUGCAACUCUACGUCGCUCGAUUUUACAACAAGAAGGAAGGAUUAACGCGAGCAAAGUGGGCGAAUUAAAUCUUUGAAUAGUGGAUAAAAUAAUUUGAACACGAUGCAAAGACAAGAUUGGGGAAAACUUCGUUUACGUGUCCUACAAAGCGAGAAAUUGAAGCCAAGUCAAGAUACUUGUAUCAAUUUCAUUUAAUUAGCUGGCUCGAUCAUCGUCUCCACGUCAACUCGUAUCGUGUGAACGAAAAAUUACAGAUACACAAGGAAUUUAAUAAAUAAUAUCAGCAACACAGUGUCGUACGUACAGUGGCCAUAUGAGUGCAUACACACGUACAUAUUUAGAAUUGUGAGAUAGAACGUUACUUUCGUUAAGCAGACAAUCGUAGAGUUACAGGAAAGUUACAAAUAAAUAAUUUACCUUUAAACGAUGUCAAGAGAGAAAGAUUAAAUGUAAACGGAAUAUAAAGGAAUAUGUUUCAUCUAUUACGAAAGAGAGGAAUGGAGCGAGAUAGAAAAUAUUGGGUUAAUCGAAUUAAUCACGAAACACACUAUCACAAAAUGCAUAUUUCCAACGUUAUAUAGGUAAACCGACGAUAGUGUUAUCUAUAUUCGUCGGCAGAUAGAUAGAUCAGCGUAAAGAUUUCAUUUACGACAACACGCGCACGGUAAAUUAGGCCUGUUAGACAGACACAACGAUCUCGGCUAUCUUAAUGCAAUAAACUCGAGCAACGCGAUCUUCUGACCUUGAUUCAGCUGAACUACAAUUGGACUAGCCGCCUGUUCCUGGAAUGCGGAAUUAGACAGGGAAAUCAACAUGAGAACAAGAAACAAAGGCAAAAUUUUACGUUCCGAUCCGAUCAAUUCCAAAACCAACCACCAGACUCCGAUUCUUUUGUAUAAAUUCAUAAAUUUCUGAAUUAAAAAAUACAUUCCUGAAUUAUUCUCUGAAUUCGAGUGUAUCGCACGAUAAAUCGUACAUUAUAUUGCGUUCAUUGUGGAAAGAAAAAUUCAUCUCGAGAGAAAAAGCAAGAAAAAUGGUCAGUUAUUGCCGCGCCAUUGCUUUUUGUUACUAACAUUUCUAAAAUCCCCUCAUAAAUUCAAGAUUAAAAACUAUAUAUAUAUUCCAAGUCAUUGAACUCUUCUAUAAAUUCUACGAUUCUUCUUUUCCAUAAAUACGAUGAACCAGCCGACACGAACAGUAACAGAUUCUCACACCGUUAAAUUUCCCACAAAUUCUUCUACGCUGUUAUAUAACAUUUAGCGCGAUAUUUAACGAAACUCGAUCUAAGAAAAAUAUAUCCUACUCUUAUGCGUUAGAUCGAUCAAUCCGCGCUUUUACACGACGAAUUCCACGUACGAUGGCCAAUAUUGUUAAAUAUCUUGCGCACGUGCCUGUGAACAUUCGCAGCCAUUGUUCGUCACGCUGCUUGUCGAUAUUAUUGGAAAAGCGAGAAAAACGAGGAAGAAGGUAGCGCGAAAGUUUAUAAAAUCAGAGGGAACGUGGAUUUUAACCACGGUGAAUUUAAAGAAAGCGAUACAGCUGACUUCAAAGAAGCAUGAAUCUUUGGUACGAGGGUGCGUUAAUUAGAAGAAGCAAUGAAUCGUCGGACGCGGAAAAAAUGGAAGAGGCACCAGAGGGAGGGUCGGAAGAUAGUAAAGAGAAGGAAAGAAAAAGAAAAAAAAGAGAAAGAAAGAGCCGGAGAGACAAGGGACCGGGCAGAAUCUGGGAAUGUCGAAAUUUUUGGCGCGUUGCCAACGCGCGGUUAUCUUAUUAUGAUCAAGCGGAAUUAACGAGCUAUUUAUCGAGAUUACACACAGCGAUAUGCAACAUUAUAAUCUAAAAUAAACCACCGGUCGGUUCCGCGGCUUUAUCAACGCUUUUAAAGCGGCAUUCGCCAAAUACAGAUAUCCCGAUGUUAUUGCAAACAACGGCGACGCGACGCCUAUAAAACACCGCGACGCUUCCCCAAAAAGCGGAUCUUUCUUUGUACUUGGUCCGUGUGUAUUCGUGAAUUUCGACGUUAAUGAGUGCUCGGUCUCGUUGACACGAUCAUUGAUUAGAUUUGUUUGUUCAUUGACUCGAAACGAUCUCAAUACGUUUAUUGUCAUUGCGUAUCUUCGGUUGAGAUUCUCAGUAUAUUAGAACGCGUCAUUCUCUUUUAGAUUAAGACGAUUUUGUACACAAUGGAAUUUAAUCGCUCAGUGGGAUAUGUACGUACGUACGUAUGUGUACAAAUAGUUGUAACGAGGAAUCGUUAGAUAUUUACAAGUAGAGCGAAAAUAUGUAAACAUGGAAAAAUUAUGAAUGUACAGGAAUGUUGAAAAUACUUCAAGUAAAGUAAUAUCGUAAUACUCUGGGAGUGAAAUCUCUAUUUAGGUACAAUUUCGUUUGUAUCGUUAUGUACAUGUUUUUGCCUACAAUAAUAGCAAGCUGUAAUUUUACGUUCUACAAGAAUUACAGUUUAUUCUAAAUUGUUACUAUACCGAAUUGUAGCUAAUUAUCUAUCGAAAAGUUGUCAAGGUUGCUCUAAAAUCUGUAAUACAGAGCGAAGAUGUGUAUGAUGCAACGAUGACAUGAAAAUUCUCGAUGCACAAUAUACGUACACGUAUGUAGGUCUUCCACGAUUCAACAAUCUCAACACAAUGGUUACAGAAAAUCUCCUAAGUUCUCGAUACUCCUAUUAAGAAAUAAUUUACGGUAGAAUAAUUCCCAAGAUUCCUAUUAAAAACUAUCUGCCAAAAACAACGGUAAU
Long non-coding RNA from Bombus huntii, 2884 nucleotides. RefSeq lists it as uncharacterized. The record is from RefSeq and is a predicted model, not a curated record. NCBI's taxonomy places the organism in Eukaryota, Metazoa, Arthropoda, Insecta, Hymenoptera, Apidae. The transcript has 4 exons.